RNAcentral lists this ribosomal RNA (367 nucleotides) under uncultured bacterium. Its description in RNAcentral is "bacterial SSU rRNA". It matches the Rfam family "Bacterial small subunit ribosomal RNA", at positions 525 to 896 of the family's 1533-position model. The record is from RNAcentral.
ACGGAGGAUCCAAGCGUUAUCCGGAAUCAUUGGGUUUAAAGGGUCCGUAGGCGGUUUAGUAAGUCAGUGGUGAAAGCCCAUCGCUCAACGGUGGAACGGCCAUUGAUACUGCUAGACUUGAAUUAUUGGGAAGUAACUAGAAUAUGUAGUGUAGCGGUGAAAUGCUUAGAGAUUACAUGGAAUACCAAUUGCGAAGGCAGGUUACUACCAAUGGAUUGACGCUGAUGGACGAAAGCGUGGGGAGCGAACAGGAUUAGAUACCCUGGUAGUCCACGCCGUAAACGAUGGAUACUAGCUGUUGGGCGCAAGUUCAGUGGCUAAGCGAAAGUGAUAAGUAUCCCACCUGGGGAGUACGAACGCAAGUUUG